GCUCAAGCUGCUUUCUUGCUUUUGUAUUUGUUUGCGCAGAUGACAUAUAUCACAAAGUUCAGAAAACUGAGCCCAGCAAGAAGCCAGAAGAAAUAAUCUAGGUGACCUUGAUUCAAGUUAUCAGGAAUCCAUCCAGGAUUUCCUCCUCUUGUUGUGAAGUACGCAACCAAUGUCAAAAUGAAUGCACUGAGAUAAUUCCCAAGAGCUGUUGUGACAAGCUGCAGUGCGCUGCAGAGGCUCCUCAUGGCAUCCGGUGAUUGAUCAUAGAAGAACUCAAGUGACCCGACAAAUGUGAAGACCUCUGAGGCACCAACCAAGAAAUAUUGAGGAAUUUGCCAGCAGAUGUUCAGUGGUACUGGAACAUUUUGAUCCACCAAAUGUUCAGCCCUUGCAAUGUCCAACCUUUUAAUCUCAAGAACUGCAGCUGCCGCCAUCGAAAAGAUUGAGAUUACCAAACCAAUCCCCAUCCUCUGUAACUCUGUAAAGCCCCUCGGGUUGCCAGUGAACCUCCUAGCUAUUGGAACCAAGAUACUAUCAUAGAGGGGGACCCAUAUAAUGACACUUACCACAUCAAAGGUAGAUAGAGAUGCUGGAGGAAUCUUGAAUGGACCUACUGAUGUAUCAAGCAUCAUCCCUUGCUCAACAAACAUGGUGGACAUCUGAGCAUAGACAGCAGAAAACACAAUAGUCGUUGCCCAGACAGGGAACAUCCUUACCAAUAUCUUCAGUUCUUCCACCUGAGUCACAGUGCAUAUUCGCCAUGGAGCUGCUAGGAAUUGUGCACUGAGCUAUGGUCUGCUGCUGCUGCAAUUUUAGCUCAGAGAGGAACACACCUGAGUUCAUCGGUGUGCUCCAAUUGCCGACUCCCUUCAAUUGCUGAAGCCCCAUCAGGCAACUCAUACAAGCGAGAGCUAUCCUCUGGAACAUGUACGUUCCACUUGCGAAAGGAGGCAACAACCACCUGGCAUACUCGUGUAAUAGGACUGCCGCCUGGCUUUUGGAAUCUAUAAAGUGAUGUUCCAGAGAAGAAACUUAUGAUGGCCAGCCCCAUGAAAAUUGUUGGAAUGCCAAAGCCUAUUCCCCAUCCUAUAUUGUCUUGCACCCAAACCAGAAAACUGCUUGAUAUGAGAGCACCAAUGUUUAUUGAGAAAUAGAACCAGUUAAAGAAAGAUCCCUUCUGGAUUCGCUCAACUGGGUCUGUAUCAUCAAAUUGAUCUGCUCCAAAGGAUGAGACACAGGGCUUAAUACCACCAGUACCAAGAGCAAUUAGGUAAAGUCCAAGAAAAAAGACAGUAUACUGCAAUGGAUUUGCUGGUGGGCAAAAGGACCCUUCGCAAGGUGGAGGCAUGAAUGUAGGAACUGAUGCUGAAAGAGUCAAAAGAUGACUUACAAUGAAGUAUAUCGUGGAGAAUGUUGCAAUAGUCCAAUACCUUCCCCAGUAUGCAUCAGCCAGUAUAGCUCCAAUAAGGGGAGUUAAGUAGCAAGUUCCCUGCCAUGCAGUCACAUUGCUAGCAGCAGAAGCAUUACCAUCAUGCAGUUUCUUUGUCAAGUAUGUAACAAGGUUUGUGGAGAUUCCAUAAUAGGCCAACCGCUCACAGCACUCAUU
RNAcentral lists this small RNA (1606 nucleotides) under Oryza sativa Japonica Group (Japanese rice). RNAcentral's name for it is "sRNA Os03g0720033". The record is from RNAcentral. Lineage: Eukaryota; Viridiplantae; Streptophyta; Magnoliopsida; Poales; Poaceae.